CCCCUCUCAGGGUCUCACUUGGAGAGUUUCCAGUACUCUCCCAGUCUCGGGUAUGGGUGGGAGAGUCAAGCAGAGGUCUACCCAUUCCAUUCCUAGCUUGGGCAAUGGCUAGCGAGUGGAAGACAAUUUGCUAGAAGU
Small nucleolar RNA from Ornithorhynchus anatinus (platypus), 138 nucleotides. The record is from RefSeq and is a predicted model, not a curated record. NCBI's taxonomy places the organism in Eukaryota, Metazoa, Chordata, Mammalia, Monotremata, Ornithorhynchidae.